Caenorhabditis elegans is the source of this 21-nucleotide non-coding RNA. The record is from Ensembl. NCBI's taxonomy places the organism in Eukaryota, Metazoa, Nematoda, Chromadorea, Rhabditida, Rhabditidae.
UGAUCUCUCAGGUGGAAGUUA